This 300-nucleotide ribosomal RNA is filed under the name uncultured Archaeoglobus sp. Its description in RNAcentral is "bacterial SSU rRNA". It matches the Rfam family "Bacterial small subunit ribosomal RNA", at positions 496 to 795 of the family's 1533-position model. The record is from RNAcentral. Lineage: Archaea; Methanobacteriati; Methanobacteriota; Archaeoglobi; Archaeoglobales; Archaeoglobaceae.
GGCAACGGCGGGCGAGCAGCGGGUGGAAAACGGAGGGGGGAAGGGGUGGCCGGAACCACGGAGCGUAAAGCGCGCGCAGUCGGUUUCUCACGUCCGGGGUGAAAACCCAGAGCGCAACGCGGGGACGGCCUUGGAGACGGGGAAACUGGAGGAUCGGAGAGGCAAGGGGAAUUCCACGUGUAGCGGUGAAAUGCGUAGAGAUGUGGAGGAACACCUGUGGCGAAGGCGCCUUGCUGGCCGAUUUCUGACGCUGAGGCGCGAAAGCGUGGGGAGCAAACAGGAUUAGAUACCCUUGUAGUC